RNA transcript from Hylaeus volcanicus, 2334 nucleotides. It is a transcript of the gene named sodium-dependent nutrient amino acid transporter 1-like, with no coding region annotated. The record is from RefSeq and is a predicted model, not a curated record. NCBI's taxonomy places the organism in Eukaryota, Metazoa, Arthropoda, Insecta, Hymenoptera, Colletidae. The transcript has 10 exons.
AGUGCGUUCGUCUGAUGACCGAUUGGAUCGACACCGGUUUCUCUAUAAAAGCGGAUGCACGCGACGAUCGAUCGCAGCUUGGCGGUCGAUUUAACCGUUCCUCGAAAACCGCGCCGUUACGUUUCAUCCCGUGACUGGUUCGUUCGACACUCCACUAUCGGAUGCACGAGGACAUGAGCGGUGCAGUGGAAACUGGCCACCGGAACUCGGCAUUCGUCGAGGACGAGAAAGAUCGACGUCGUCGCUCCGACAACGAAUCCGGAGAAUCGAUAUCGGGAUGCUCGACGUCAACGGAGGAAGUAAAAGCGACGAGCAGCUGGAACAACAGCAUAGAGUUCCUGUUGUCCUGCGUAGCCAUGUCCAUCGGGUUCGGUAACAUUUGGAGGUUCCCGUUCACCGCUUACGAAAAUGGCGGCGGUGUGUUCCUGAUACCUUACAUCAUCGUCCUGCUCCUCGUUGGUAAACCGUUCUACUAUCUAGAGAUGAUAAUGGGACAGUUCUCCUCGUCGUCGUCCAUCAAAGUUUGGAGAUUGUCGCCCGCGUUUGUUGGGGUUGGUUGGGCCCAGUGUUGUUCGUGCGUGGCGCUAAUGACGUAUUACACUUACCUGAUGGCUCUGACGCUGUUCUUCCUCGUCGCCUCUUUUUCCGCCGAGCUACCCUGGGCAAAGUGCAGAGAAGAAUGGGGCGACCGUUGCGUGGACUCCGACAGGAAGAUGAAUACCAGCGCGAACAGUACGAACGCGCUCGAAGGAACGCACCAGGGAACGAACUUGUUCAGGUUGCUGGUAGACGACGAACACUACAGCAGCUCGGCUGAACUUUACUUCACGAAGGUGGUUCUUCAGGAGAAAGACAACAUCGACGAUGGAAUCGGACUGCCAGAUUGGAGAUUGACGCUCUGCUUGUUGGGUAGCUGGCUCCCGGUGCUCCUGGUAUCGUUCCAGGGCGUGAGAAGCUCGGGAAAGGCUUCCUAUUUUCUCGCGAGUUUCCCUUACGUUGUUCUGAUCAGUCUUCUGAUCAGAGCGGUCACCCUCGAUGGCGCCGCAAAAGGGAUAUUGUACUUCGUCACGCCGAAAUGGUCGAAGCUCUUGGACCCAACUAUUUGGUACGCAGCCGUCACCCAAUGCUUUUUCUCGCUUUCCGUUUGUUUCGGCGUCAUCAUCACCUACUCGUCGCACAACGACUUCAAGCACAACAUCUACAGGGACGCGAUGAUCGUGACAAGCCUGGAUACGGUGACCAGUUUCAUAGCUGGUUGCACGAUUUUUGGGAUUCUCGGGAACUUGGCCCACGAGAUGGGGAUCGCGGACAUCGACAAGGUGGUCAAGUCCGGGGUUGGCUUGGCGUUCGUUUCCUACCCUGACGCGAUAGCCAAGUUCACGUUUUUGCCACAGCUGUUCUCGGUUCUCUUUUUCGUGAUGAUGUUCGUUCUGGGAGUUGGCAGUACCGUGGGCAUGGUAUCGGGGAUCGCAACCGCCCUGAAAGAGCGGCUUCCGAACGUGGAGAUCUGGCAGAUCGUUUUUACGGUGUGCUCGAUGGGAUUCGCCGUCAGCACAGUUUACGUUACUCCCGGUGGCCAAUUCAUGCUGACGCUCGUCGAUUACUAUGGCACCUCCUUCGUUGUGUUCAUCUUGGCCUCUUUUGAAAUCACCGCGGUAACGUGGUUGUACGGUAUAGAGAACUUGCUGAACGAUGUCGAGUUCAUGCUGGAGAGGAAGACGACCAGCUACUGGAGGAUCUGCUGGUUCCUCGUGACCCCGUUGAUUCUGAUAACAAUUUUCAUCUACACCGUCGCCACCCUGUCGCCAUUGACCUACGGAACCAAAGGAUUUCCGACAUCGGCCCACGCAGCUGGCGCGGUUUUACUCUGCUUUAGUAUUUUCCAAAUACCAUUCUGGAUGACGAUGGAAAUAGUAAAGAACAGGCGGCUGCCUUUGUUACAGAACUUGAAGAGGUGUUUUCAGCCGACGUCGGAAUGGGGACCGAGGGAGGCCAAGUACAGGAAAGCCUGGCUCCUCUUCAAACAAGAGAAAAUGAAAGAGAGGAGUCUCAGGACGCAGCCCAAGUGGCUUCAACUGAUUUGCAUACUGCUUCGUGUAAAGCUGAAAUAACACUGUCCCAGAAGACCGUUCUCGAAACAGAAUCUCCUCUUGCAUUCUCCGGACGCUCGUUACCAGUGGAAACAAAUAAAAAUGAAUAAGCUGAGAUCUACGGGGUAUCUCGUCAGCGUCAUCGAAGCAGUCCGAUGGUCAGAUUCUUGAUCGAAUCCCUUAAUGCUGCAGUUGCUAUCAAUCUCCUCCGAUCAGCAGCGUCACGAUUCUCGACCUUUUCUUG